RNAcentral lists this ribosomal RNA (253 nucleotides) under uncultured bacterium. RNAcentral's name for it is "partial 16S ribosomal RNA". It matches the Rfam family "Bacterial small subunit ribosomal RNA", at positions 524 to 776 of the family's 1533-position model. The record is from RNAcentral.
UACGAAGGGUGCAAACGUUGCUCGGAAUCAUUGGGCGUAAAGCGCACGUAGGCGGCCUCGCAAGUCGGAUGUGAAAUACCUAGGCUCAACCAAGGACGUGCAUCCGAAACUGCAAGGCUUGAGUACAGAAGAGGAUCGCGGAAUUCCCGGUGCAGAGGUGAAAUUCGUAGAUAUCGGGAGGAACACCAGUGGCGAAGGCGGCGAUCUGGGCUGAUACUGACGCUGAGGUGCGAAAGCGUGGGGAGCAAACAGG